CGUGGCGUGACAGAAACCCGGAGGGACGUCUCGCGGUGAUCGAUCACGCCGACAAAACAAUCAGCCGGGCUGAAGCCUUCCGGAUCGCCCAACUGUUUGUGUUGUUCCGAAUAAUCCCCGAAAUGCUUCAGCUCCCUGCCGACGGAGGCACCUCCUCCGCCCCUCCAUUCAUCACUCGCUGACCAUUUAGUGCGCGGCCGCUCCUUGAUUGAUCGUGUUUAUGGUCUGAACCCGCUGUGUGAUUGAUGAAGUCAAGUGUUUGUGCAACCCGACGCCGCUCGGGCUAAACACGCGGAAAGGCCGAUAAGCCUCCUGUGAGCAACAUCAGUAGCUGAGACGGUUGCAGAGAUCCGCCUGCCGCGUGUAAUGGAUUUCACGGACGCCGAUCGACCGCUUCGAGGGAAGAAAACGCUCGGUGCUGAAUGCUGCUGUAAUAAAGUUAUAACACUUACUUACACUCAUGCAAGAAACGUGUGAAGGAUGUUUCAGAGGCUGACUUAAUUAAGUAUUAGUUUAGUGUUUUUUACCCUCUUGGUGGCCUGUCUGCUGCAGACUGGUCAAAACGAGUCAUAUUUUUGAAAGGAAAAACCAAUAAGCACAAGGAAAGAACCCGUGAUGAAGCCUCCAUGUGUAAAGUCCCUGAACCAAUGAAAUUGCCUCAAGCGACGCGGCCGUGGCAGAAAAAAAGGUAGAAAUAAAACCAUGUGAUCAGUGCACUUGCUUCAAUUCGAUGGUAAUCUGCAGGAGAGAUGGAAAUGGAAUGAUCAUUACAGUGAUGAAUCCCCCCCCGCGGAGGGCUGCCCGGAGACGAGAUCUGCAACAAUGCAAGAAGAGGGGCCAGCUGGAGGUUCAGGCAUUUGAUCCGGAUUCCUCACGCUGGUUUAUUUGUGCUCAUCCGACUGGUAGAAGGUCUGAGAAUCCACAGGAGAACUUGGACAACUUUCCCGGCCUCCAGGGAUCAUGGCGAAAAUAAAAGAACUUGAUAGAAUCUGUUGUGACGGAGCCCUUUUCAUGAACAUCAGCCCUCAAGAACGUGCGCAGGAUCGUCUCCUGGGCAGUUUCUGUAGAUUCCGUAGACAUGUGCGAUCAUCAGGCCGGGCGGUGUGAGCUUUGUUGAGGAGCAGCGGUUCAUCCGUGUUGGUUGGCCGGAGAGCGAAACGUUUGGCCGGAUGAAUCGAUGGGAGCACAGUUGGCUUCUUUGCCCCGUCGCCAUCCCCGUCCCGAGAGAGAGAGCAGCUGCUCCUCCAACCAGAAGCUCCGGGAAACUUUCCAGCUCGACGAAAGCGUUUGACCGGCAUAUUGUCCAAAGUUUAAACGUUCCUUCCUGAUGAAUUUGAUCAAAGAGGGAAAUCUGGAGAGGAGACCAAAUCUCCUUCUUUAACCACCUGGCUUAGUGUGUGAAUCUGUCGCAAUAUUGUGUCUUGUGUGAGAAACUCUUGACAACAGCAUCAAUUAGCAGUGUUUUCUCCACUGAGUGCUUUCUUAAGAGGCUUAAAUGGUGUUAAAUGAACCGACGUGCUCCACUUUGCUUCUGUUAAAGAACUUUGAUCUAAAUUCAUAUUAGGAAUGAUGCUUCAGCAGUCUACAACGAUAAAAAACAGAAGCAAGUCAGCAUCUUUGCACUUCCCCACGUCUUUGUCUCUGUUUUUAGUUCAGGUCAGUUGUUGAUGCAAGCUGAAGAGAUUUUAACGCUGUGAAAAUGAAUCAAUGGUCUCAAUCACUAGUUUCAAGUCUUCUCCUAUACAGCACGAUGUCCAUUUAGUAGAUGAUGGUACAUUUAGAGUCUAUAAACUUAACCCAAAAGAACAGUAAUCAGUCACCUUUUUCUUUUUUUUAAUAUACUUUCCCGCCUUUUUGUGUUUCCUCACCUUUGCGGUUGACCUUACCGCCCCUUAGCUCACCUGUGUGUGAUCACUUGGCCCUCACGUGUGUCUCCUGUUUCAGUGUGUGUGUGUGGAGAAACAGAACGGAGCCCUUAACCUGUCUUUCCUUUCAGUCGUUACACAUAUUGCUCCAUAGGCGAAGGUACAGGAAGCUGACUGAAACACCGUCACGUUCCGUAUUCAUACAUACUACUAUCUCCAUUUCCCCCGUAUUUCUUAUGAUUGUGAUUUAAUUUGUAUACAACCCACAAUAUAAUAAUGCUGUCUUUGGAAAAUGAUUUAUUGGCAAAGAAAAUCGAAUUUGUCAACUUGACUGAACAAAAUCAUGAUAGAUGAUACAGAAAGUGUUUUGUGUCGUUUCCCUC
Molecule: long non-coding RNA, 2248 nt
Organism: Gasterosteus aculeatus aculeatus (three-spined stickleback)
Lineage: Eukaryota; Metazoa; Chordata; Actinopteri; Perciformes; Gasterosteidae
Source: Ensembl